CAGUCGCCGCGGUAAUACAGAGGGUGCGAGCGUUAAUCGGAUUUACUGGGCGUAAAGCGUGCGUAGGCGGCUUUUUAAGUCGGAUGUGAAAUCCCUGAGCUUAACUUAGGAAUUGCAUUCGAUACUGGGAAGCUAGAGUCUUGUAGAGGGGGGUAGAAUUCCAGGUGUAGCGGUGAAAUGCGUAGAGAUCUGGAGGAAUACCGGUGGCGAAGGCGGCCCCCUGGACAAAGACUGACGCUCAGGUGCGAAAGCGUGGGGAGCAAACAGGAUUAGAUACCCGCGUAGUCCCUGUCUCUUAUAU
Molecule: ribosomal RNA, 301 nt
Filed under: uncultured bacterium
Lineage: Bacteria
Description: partial 16S ribosomal RNA
Rfam family: Bacterial small subunit ribosomal RNA
Source: RNAcentral